GAAGUCAAGGCCCCUUCGGGGGCUAAACUUCCACCCUUUGUUUACCUUACCAUUGUUGCUUUGGCGGGCCGCCUUAGGCCACCGGCUCUCGAGCUGGUGCGUGCCCGCCAGAGACCCCCAAACCCAAACCAUAUUUAGUGUCGUCUGAAAACAAGUUUAAAUUAUUAAAACUUUCAACAACGGAUCUCUUGGCUCU
This 196-nucleotide unclassified non-coding RNA is filed under the name rhizosphere metagenome. Its description in RNAcentral is "partial ribosomal RNA internal transcribed spacer region". The record is from RNAcentral.